This 440-nucleotide ribosomal RNA is filed under the name uncultured bacterium. Its description in RNAcentral is "partial 16S ribosomal RNA". It matches the Rfam family "Bacterial small subunit ribosomal RNA", at positions 338 to 795 of the family's 1533-position model. The record is from RNAcentral.
CCUACGGGUGGCAGCAGUGGGGAAUAUUGGACAAUGGGGGAAAGCCUGAUCCAGCAACGUCGCGUGAGUGAAGAAGUAUCUCGGGAUGUAAAGCUCUAUUUGCAGGGAAGAAGAUGACGGUACCUGAUCAAGAAGCCCCGGCUAACUACGUGCCAGCAGCGGCGGUAACACGUAGGGGGCAAGCGUUAUCCGGAUUUACUGGGUGUAAAGGGAGCGCAGACGGCAGUGCAAGUCUGGAGUGAAAGCCUGGGGCCCAACCCCGGAACUGCACUGGAAACUGGGCGGCUAGAGUACUGGAGGGGCAGGCGGAAUUCGUGGUGUAGCGGUGAAAUGCGUAGAUAUUAGGAAGAACACCAGUGGCGAAGGCAGCCUGCUGGACAGUAACUGACGUUGAGGCUCGAAAGUGUGGGGAGCAAACAGGAUUAGAUACCCUUGUAGUC